This 744-nucleotide ribosomal RNA is filed under the name uncultured bacterium. RNAcentral describes it as "bacterial SSU rRNA". It matches the Rfam family "Bacterial small subunit ribosomal RNA", at positions 8 to 796 of the family's 1533-position model. The record is from RNAcentral.
AGAGUUUGAUCAUGGCUCAGAACGAACGCUGGCGGCAGGCCUCAAACAUGCAAGUCUAGGGGGUGUAGCAAUACAUCACCGGCGGACGGGUGCGUAACACGUGGGAAUAUACCUUUUGGUUCGGAACAACGCAGGGAAACUUGCGCUAAUACCGAAUGUGCCCUUACGGGGAAAGAUUUAUCGCCAAAGGAUUAGCCCGCGUAGGAUUAGCUAGUUGGUGAGGUAAUGGCUCACCAAGGCUCCGAUCCUUAGCUGUUCUGAGAGGAAGAUCAGCCACACUGGGACUGAGACACGGCCCAGACUCCUACGGGAGGCAGCAGUUGGGAAUCUUGGACAAUGGGGGAAACCCUGAUCCAGCCAUGCCGCGUGAGUGAUGAAGGCCUUCGGGUUGUAAAACUCUUUCGACGGGGACGAUAAUGACGGUACCCGUAGAAGAAGCUCCGGCUAACUUCGUGCCAGCAGCCGCGGUAAUACGAAGGGGGCUAGCGUUGUUCGGAAUUACUGGGCGUAAAGCGCGCGCAGGCGGCUAUCCAAGUCAGUGGUGAAAGCCCGGAGCUCAACUCCGGAACUGCCAUUGAAACUGUUUAGCUUGAGGACGAGAGAGGUGAGUGGAAUUCCCAGUGUAGAGGUGAAAUUCGUAGAUAUUGGGAAGAACACCGGUGGCGAAGGCGGCUCACUGGCUCGUAUCUGACGCUCAGGCGCGACAGCGUGGGGAUCAAACAGGAUUAGAUACCCUAGUAGUCC